Molecule: long non-coding RNA, 804 nt
Organism: Tachysurus fulvidraco (yellow catfish)
Lineage: Eukaryota; Metazoa; Chordata; Actinopteri; Siluriformes; Bagridae
Exons: 3
Source: RefSeq, a predicted model, not a curated record
CAAGAGGGGAUAGAGACAAGUGAUUAAAGCAAGGGUGUCCAGUCUUAUCCAGAAAGGGCUGGUGUGUGGCAGGUUUCAUUCCAAUCAAGUAGAAGCUACGAUAAGUCUAUUGAAAGCCAGGAUUAACUGAUUAAACAGUCUCUCUGGAAAAGGUGUCCUAUGUAAAAGGUUUCACCUCCGUUUUGCCUUCAAUGGAUGCAGGAGUGGUAGUUUGGAAGUUCCCACAGGGCCAGCAGGGGCUUCCAGUACCUGGUUGACCAGAAUGAUCAGACCAUAAGAAGACCAUGAAUGAGUCCAGAUUUAUUCGGAUCUUAGAUAUGCUGGAAUCUGCAUUGAGCAAGAAUACAACUCUCAGCCUACAAACAUGGCCUCCCAAGACCACAGCUUACUGCCGUCACAAACACUGGACGCUCAGGUUUACUGAUUGCACCUGAUUACUGAUUGCAUGCACCUGGACUCAACAACCCCCUUCACACUAUAUAAGCACUCACAACACAGGUACUGUAUAUGUGAACUAUAUGUUGUUUGUUGAUCACUUGAUCUAUGCCUGAGUCUUUUUCUUGUUUGUAUUGUGUGGAGUAAUAAAAACCUGUCAAACCUACAAUUGCAGGCUCUCCUGUGUUUCUGACACUCAGAUUCAACACUUUGAAAUUAGAUUUUUGACUUUGAGCAAAGUCAUAUACAGUAUUAUAAUAACUGUAGGAUAAAUAUUCAGAUAGUCAGAAUUUCAUUUGCUGAUUCUAAUUCAUUAUUGUUUGCUUGCUUUGUUUGAUAAAAAGAAGUAAUGUUCUGCCGUGUAUUUAA